AAUGGCCUACCGAGGCGAUGACGGGUAGCCGGCCUGAGAGGGUGACCGGCCACACUGGGACUGAGACACGGCCCAGACUCCUACGGGAGGCAGCAGUGGGGAAUAUUGCACAAUGGGCGAAAGCCUGAUGCAGCGACGCCGCGUGAGGGAUGACGGCCUUCGGGUUGUAAACUCCUUUCGAUAGGGAAGAUAAUGACGGUACCUAUAGAAGAAGCCCCGGCUAACUUCGUGCCAGCAGCCGCGGUAAUACGAGGGGGGCAAGCGUUGUUCGGAAUUAUUGGGCGUAAAGGGUGCGUAGGCGGUUUGACAAGUCUCAUGUAAAAUACUACGGGCUCAACCCGAAGUCUGCAUGGGAAACUGUCGGGCUUGAGUAUUGGAGAGGUGAGUGGAAUUUCCGGUGUAGCGGUGAAAUG
This 413-nucleotide ribosomal RNA is filed under the name uncultured soil bacterium. RNAcentral describes it as "bacterial SSU rRNA". It matches the Rfam family "Bacterial small subunit ribosomal RNA", at positions 259 to 688 of the family's 1533-position model. The record is from RNAcentral.